CGAUAGCGUAUAUUAAAGUUGUUGCAGUUAAAAAGCUCGUAGUUGGAUUUGUGGCGUACGGUGGGUUCCGGGCACUUGUUGUCUGAGUAACUUGCUGUUGCCAUCCUUGGGUGGAACCUGUGUGGCAUUAGGUUGUCGUGCAGGGGAUGCCCAUCAUUUACUGUGAAAAAAUUAGAGUGUUCAAAGCAGGCUUAUGCCGUUGAAUAUAUUAGCAUGGAAUAAUGAGAUAGGACUUUUUUGCUAUUUUGUUGGUUUGCGCAAAGAGGUAAUGAUUAAUAGGGACAGUUGGGGGUAUUCGUAUUCCAUUGUCAGAGGUGAAAUUCUUGGAUUUUUGGAAGACGAACUACUGCGAAAGCAUUUACCAAGGAUGUUUUCAUUAA
Molecule: ribosomal RNA, 380 nt
Filed under: uncultured eukaryote
Lineage: Eukaryota
Description: partial 18S ribosomal RNA
Rfam family: Eukaryotic small subunit ribosomal RNA
Source: RNAcentral